Papaver somniferum (opium poppy) is the source of this 856-nucleotide long non-coding RNA. RefSeq lists it as uncharacterized. The transcript has 3 exons. NCBI's taxonomy places the organism in Eukaryota, Viridiplantae, Streptophyta, Magnoliopsida, Ranunculales, Papaveraceae. The record is from RefSeq and is a predicted model, not a curated record.
UCUUCUUCUACAUUAAACUUUCUUCUUCAUCUCCACCAUCAUCACUGCCAAUAUCAUCACCGUGAAAGAUCAAAGACCCUCUUCCAUCCAUCCAUAUUUAACCACCACCACCACCAUCGACACCAUCAUCACUGUGAAAAAUCAAAACCCUCAUCAAUUUCAUUUUCUUUAAUCACCAUCAUCACGAUUUCGAUCAGAAGAUUUUUUUACCACCUCCACCAAACACGCGAGUCUGUUUUCUCUUAAUCACCACCUCCAAGAGGGUUUAAAGUAUGAUGAAAACCGGUUUCAUCCAGAUUUUAUUUGCAGUGUAUUUAGUUUCAGCAAGAAACUAUGAUGAAACACGAUUUCAUCCAGAGAUCUUGGUUCACUCAACACUAGAUACAUGUGAAGGUGCAGAUUUCAGCCACUAGUUGGCACAACAGACAAGGGAGUUCCUACCAAGCAGCUGCUGGUGUUCUCAGCCAAAGACAAAGCACACGGCAACAAGUAAAAGAUGGUGCAGGGAGUAUUGCUGCCGGUUCUCGGUCUCUACAAUAGCAUAGUGGUUUCAACGGAGAUUCAGGCUAUAACGUAAGAGAUCGAGAUAUGCUAUUCUGGAGGGCAUGAAUAUGGCACUGGUCUUUAGUAGUUACAAUAUUUGGCAGAAAGAUUCAGUUGAAACUGUUGCUACCGGUGGAGAAGGGAAGAAUAAUGUGUGAUUUUCACCUUGUUAACAAAGAUGGCGAUAAUGGGGAUGAUGAUGUUGGACGAUGAUCAGUCGAAAGAAAAACUCGAGUUUAAAGUGGUGUUGCGAUUUACCGGUUGAUGCUACUUAAACGAGUACAACUGCCAUGAAACUAAUAAGGGACUGCUA